Molecule: long non-coding RNA, 577 nt
Filed under: Homo sapiens (human)
Lineage: Eukaryota; Metazoa; Chordata; Mammalia; Primates; Hominidae
Description: non-protein coding lnc-PROM1-4:4
Source: RNAcentral
ACCGAAGGGAGGAGCACUUUCACUUCCUUUAUAGAAUGGAAUGUGGUGGCACAGGGACUCCUUGUGGGACAGACGUUUGCUUCAGCCUGCCCAGGUGUGUGACAUUUUGAAGGGUGUCAUUUUGGUAAUCUGCUAUUUUAUGAUGCACUAUGUUGACUACUCCAUGAUGUACCACCUGAUAAGGGGGCAGUCCGUCAUCAAGCUCUACAUCAUCUACAACAUGCUGGAGCCAUGAAGAGAUUUUUCCUAGUGAGAGGACAGAUGGGGUGGGGGCUGCUGGCCUUUCUGCUCUGAAGCUGCAUCGCUGUGGUAGACAAGGACUCUCCAUCUCUUCACAGAAGCCAUGGAGCUCUAGCCUUCCUGGUACCUCCUAAAUUCAAGACCAAGAUGUUUUAAAACCAUACCCCAGCUACCUGAUUCUAGGCUUGCUGCGCGUACACUUUGCCCCACCAAGUAGCUGAUCGUCUGUUUUCAUCUUUUGGACAAGACAUAUUAGAUGCUCUCUAUUGGACAGCAACAGAGCCUAAAGAAAGAAAAAGAGCCCACAUUGGGGUGAUUCCUCACUUUUUCAUGGCUG